Molecule: ribosomal RNA, 506 nt
Filed under: Trapezionida tuberculata
Lineage: Eukaryota; Metazoa; Arthropoda; Malacostraca; Decapoda; Munididae
Description: Munida tuberculata partial large subunit ribosomal RNA
Rfam family: Bacterial large subunit ribosomal RNA
Source: RNAcentral
GUCUGUAUGAAGUUACAUGGAGUCUAGCCUGCCCACUGAAUAUUUUAAAGGCCGCAGUAUAUUAACUGUGCAAAGGUAGCAUAAUCAUUAGUUUUUUAAUUGGAGGCUUGUAUGAAGGGUUGGACAAAGAACAAUCUGUUUCUAUUUUUGUUUUUGAAUUUAACUUUUAAGUGAAAAGGCUUAAAUAAUUUUAAGGGACGAUAAGACCCUAUAAAUCUUUAUAUUAAUUUGUUUUUAGUUGAUUAAUACUGUAGAUUCAACGGUAAAAUAAAAUAUAUUAUGUUGGGGUGACGAGAAUAUAAUGUGUACCUGUUCUAAAUUAUGAAACAAAAAUUUUUGUGUUAGUAGAAGAUCCUCUUUAUUGAGAUUAGGAGUUUAAGUUACUUUAGGGAUAACAGCGUUAUUUUUUUUGAGAGUUCUUAUCGAAAAAAAAGUUUGCGACCUCGAUGUUGAAUUAAAUUUUCUUUGUGGUGUAGUUGUCAUAAGAGAGAGUCUGUUCGACUUUU